CCUUGCCAGCCCGCUACAGAAACUCAAAGGAAUUGACGGGGGCCCGCACAAGCGGUGGAGUAUGUGGUUAAUUCGAUGCAACGCGAAGAACCUUACCUGGUCUUGACAUCCCGGAGACCCUUAGGAAACUAGGGGGUGCUUCCAUCUGGAAGAAUCUGGAGACAGGUGCUGCAUGGCUGUCGUCAGCUCGUGUCGUGAGAUGUUGGGUUAAGUCCCGCAACGAGCGCAACCCUUGCCUUUAGUUGCCAGCAGUUCGGCUGGGCACUCUAAAGGGACUGCCGGUGUUAAACCGGAGGAAGGUGGGGAUGACGUCAAGUCCUCAUGGCCUUUAUGACCAGGGCUACACACGUACUACAAUGGCCGAUACAAAGGGCAGCGACACUGCGAGGUGAAGCCAAUCCCGUAAAAUCGGUCUCAGUCCGGAUUGGAGUCUGCAACUCGACUCCAUGAAGUUGGAAUCGCUAGUAAUCGUGGAUCAGCAUGCCACGGUGAAUACGUUCCCGGGCCUU
This 509-nucleotide ribosomal RNA is filed under the name uncultured Desulfobulbus sp. RNAcentral's name for it is "bacterial SSU rRNA". It matches the Rfam family "Bacterial small subunit ribosomal RNA", at positions 903 to 1382 of the family's 1533-position model. The record is from RNAcentral. Lineage: Bacteria; Pseudomonadati; Thermodesulfobacteriota; Desulfobulbia; Desulfobulbales; Desulfobulbaceae.